Ribosomal RNA from Petromyzon marinus (sea lamprey), 119 nucleotides. The record is from Ensembl. Lineage: Eukaryota; Metazoa; Chordata; Hyperoartia; Petromyzontiformes; Petromyzontidae.
GCCUACGACCAUAUCACCCUGAAUGCGCCCGAUCUCGUCUGACCUCGGAAGCUAAGCAUGGUCGAGCCUGGUGAGUACUUGGAUGGGAGACUGCCUGGGAAUACCAGGUGUUGUAGGAU